Molecule: ribosomal RNA, 373 nt
Filed under: uncultured organism
Description: partial 16S ribosomal RNA
Rfam family: Bacterial small subunit ribosomal RNA
Source: RNAcentral
GGAGGGGUGCGAGCGUUAAUCGGAAUUACUGGGCGUAAAGCGCGCGUAGGGCGGCUAGGUCAGUCGGGAUGUGAAAGCCCCGGGCUUAACCUGGGAAUUGCACUCGAAACUGCCUGGCUAGAGUAUGGGAGAGGGAAGUGGAAUUUCCGGUGUAGCGGUGAAAUGCGUAGAUAUCGGAAGGAACACCAGUGGCGAAGGCGACUUCCUGGCCCAAUACUGACGCUCAGGUGCGAAAGCGUGGGUAGCGAACAGGAUUAGAUACCCUGGUAGUCCACGCCGUAAACGAUGAGAACUAGAUGUCGGGAGGAUUUGCCUUUCGGUGUCGCAGCUAACGCAUUAAGUUCUCCGCCUGGGGAGUACGCCGGCAACGGUA